GAUGAACGCUAGCUACAGGCUUAACACAUGCAAGUCGAGGGGAAACGACAUCGAAAGCUUGCUUUUGAUGGGCGUCGACCGGCGCACGGGUGAGUAACGCGUAUCCAACCUGCCCAUCACUUGGGAAUAACCUUGCGAAAGUAAGACUAAUACCCAAUGAUAUCCCACGAAGGCAUCGGAAUGGGAUUAAAGAUUUAUCGGUGAUGGAUGGGGAUGCGUCUGAUUAGCUUGUUGGCGGGGUAACGGCCCACCAAGGCAACGAUCAGUAGGGGUUCUGAGAGGAAGGUCCCCCACAUUGGAGCUGAGACACGGUCCAAACUCCUACGGGAGGCAGCAGUGAGGAAUAUUGGGCAAUGGGCGAGAGCCUGAACCAGCCAAGUAGCGUGCAGGAAGACGGCCCUAUGGGUUGUAAACUGCUUUUAUAAGGGAAUAAAGUGAGUCACGUGUGACUUUUUGCAUGUACCUUAUGAAUAAGGACCGGCUAAUUCCGUG
RNAcentral lists this ribosomal RNA (492 nucleotides) under uncultured bacterium. RNAcentral describes it as "partial 16S ribosomal RNA". It matches the Rfam family "Bacterial small subunit ribosomal RNA", at positions 28 to 507 of the family's 1533-position model. The record is from RNAcentral.